CCUACGGGAGGCAGCAGUGAGGAAUAUUGGUCAAUGGACGGAAGUCUGAACCAGCCAUGCCGCGUGCAGGAAGACGGCUCUAUGAGUUGUAAACUGCUUUUGUACAAGGGUAAACCUGAAUACGUGUAUUCAGCUGAAAGUACUGUACGAAUAAGGAUCGGCUAACUCCGUGCCAGCAGCCGCGGUAAUACGGAGGAUGCAAGCGUUAUCCGGAUUUAUUGGGUUUAAAGGGUGCGUAGGCGGAUUGAUAAGUUAGAGGUGAAAUGUCCGGGCUUAACUCGGGAACUGCCUGUAAUACUGAGGAUCUAGAGAGUAGAUGCGGUAGGCGGAAUGUAUGGUGUAGCGGUGAAAUGCUUAGAGAUCAUACAGAACACCGAUUGCGAAGGCAGCUUACCAAUCUAUAUCUGACGUUGAGGCACGAAAGCGUGGGGAGCAAACAGGAUUAGAUACCCGUGUAGUC
This 460-nucleotide ribosomal RNA is filed under the name uncultured bacterium. Its description in RNAcentral is "partial 16S ribosomal RNA". It matches the Rfam family "Bacterial small subunit ribosomal RNA", at positions 338 to 795 of the family's 1533-position model. The record is from RNAcentral.